RNAcentral lists this ribosomal RNA (301 nucleotides) under uncultured bacterium. RNAcentral describes it as "partial 16S ribosomal RNA". It matches the Rfam family "Bacterial small subunit ribosomal RNA", at positions 509 to 807 of the family's 1533-position model. The record is from RNAcentral.
CAGUCGCCACGGUAAAACGGAGGGUGCAAGCGUUAUCCGGAUUUAUUGGGUUUAAAGGGUCCGUAGGCGGACUUAUAAGUCAGUGGUGAAAGCCUGUCGCUUAACGAUAGAACUGCCAUUGAUACUGUAAGUCUUGAGUAUAUUUGAGGUAGCUGGAAUAAGUAGUGUAGCGGUGAAAUGCAUAGAUAUUACUUAGAACACCAAUUGCGAAGGCAGGUUACCAAGAUAUAACUGACGCUGAGGGACGAAAGCGUGGGUAGCGAACAGGAUUAGAUACCCCAGUAGUCCCUGUCUCUUAUAC